RNAcentral lists this ribosomal RNA (459 nucleotides) under uncultured bacterium. RNAcentral describes it as "partial 16S ribosomal RNA". It matches the Rfam family "Bacterial small subunit ribosomal RNA", at positions 338 to 795 of the family's 1533-position model. The record is from RNAcentral.
CCUACGGGAGGCUGCAGUGAGGAAUAUUGGUCAAUGGGCGUAAGCCUGAACCAGCCAAGUCGCGUGAGGGAUGAAGGUUCUAUGGAUCGUAAACCUCUUUUAUAAGGGAAUAAAGUGCGGGACGUGUCCCGUUUUGUAUGUACCUUAUGAAUAAGGAUCGGCUAACUCCGUGCCAGCAGCCGCGGUAAUACGGAGGAUCCGAGCGUUAUCCGGAUUUAUUGGGUUUAAAGGGUGCGUAGGCGGACGCUUAAGUCAGCGGUAAAAUUGCGGGGCUCAACCUCGUCGAGCCGUUGAAACUGGGUGCCUUGAGUGGGCGAGAAGUACGCGGAAUGCGUGGUGUAGCGGUGAAAUGCAUAGAUAUCACGCAGAACUCCGAUUGCGAAGGCAGCGUACCGGCGCCCAACUGACGCUGAAGCACGAAGGCGUGGGUAUCGAACAGGAUUAGAUACCCUUGUAGUC